GAUGAACGCUGACAGAAUGCUUAACACAUGCAAGUCAACUUGAACUUCGGUUUGGGUGGCGGACGGGUGAGUAACGCGUAAAGAACUUGCCUCACAGAUAGGGACAACAUUUGGAAACGAAUGCUAAUACCUGAUAUUAUGAUUUUAGGGCAUCCUAGGAUUAUGAAAGCUAUAUGCGCUGUGAGAGAGCGUUGCGUCCCAUUAGCUAGUUGGAGAGGUAACGGCUCACCAAGGCGAUGAUGGGUAGCCGGCCUGAGAGGGUGAUCGGCCACAAGGGGACUGAGACACGGCCCUUACUCCUACGGGAGGCAGCAGUGGGGAAUAUUGGACAAUGGACCAAGAGUCUGAUCCAGCAAUUCUGUGUGCACGAUGAAGUUUUUCGGAAUGUAAAGUGCUUUCAGUUGGGAAGAAAAAAAUGACGGUACCAACAGAAGAAGAGACGGCUAAAUACGUG
Molecule: ribosomal RNA, 454 nt
Filed under: uncultured bacterium
Lineage: Bacteria
Description: partial 16S ribosomal RNA
Rfam family: Bacterial small subunit ribosomal RNA
Source: RNAcentral